AUACUUACCUGGCAGGGGAGACACCAUGAUCACGAAGGUGGUUUCCCCAGGGCGAGGCUCAUCCAUUGCACUCCCGAUGUGCUGACCCCUGCGAUUUCCCCAAAUGCAGGAAAUUCGACUGCAUAAUUCGUGGUAGUGGGGGACUGUGUUCGCACUCUCCCCUG
This 164-nucleotide small nuclear RNA is filed under the name Castor canadensis (American beaver). RNAcentral describes it as "U1 spliceosomal RNA (ENSCCNG00000020203.1)". It matches the Rfam family "U1 spliceosomal RNA". Rfam says of the family: U1 is a small nuclear RNA (snRNA) component of the spliceosome (involved in pre-mRNA splicing). Its 5' end forms complementary base pairs with the 5' splice junction, thus defining the 5' donor site of an intron. There are significant differences in sequence and secondary structure between metazoan and yeast U1 snRNAs, the latter being much longer (568 nucleotides as compared to 164 nucleotides in human). Lineage: Eukaryota; Metazoa; Chordata; Mammalia; Rodentia; Castoridae. The record is from Rfam by way of RNAcentral.